This is a small nucleolar RNA of Phragmites australis (common reed), 100 nucleotides long. RefSeq annotates it as small nucleolar RNA snoR99. The record is from RefSeq and is a predicted model, not a curated record. The transcript has a single exon. NCBI's taxonomy places the organism in Eukaryota, Viridiplantae, Streptophyta, Magnoliopsida, Poales, Poaceae.
GUGCCUGUGGGAUGAACAGGUUUCUAACGUUUACUACCAUCUCUUUCACUUUUUCAGCUGAUAAACACACGUUCAGCUGAUCAUUUAGGAUGUGAAAUGU